This is a non-coding RNA of Oryza meridionalis, 202 nucleotides long. Lineage: Eukaryota; Viridiplantae; Streptophyta; Magnoliopsida; Poales; Poaceae. The record is from Rfam.
AAUAAACGCAGCCAUGAGUUUUCGUGUCCAAUUUUGAUCAUCCGUCUUAUUUCAUUUUCUUUAUGAUUAAUAUUUUUAUUGUUAUUAGAUUAUAAAACAUGAAUGAUACUUUCUGUGUGACUUAUGUUUUUUAGGUUUUUCAAUAAUUUUAAAUAAGACGAAUGAUCAAAGUUGGACACGGAAACUCAUGGCUGCGUUUAUU